This 215-nucleotide ribosomal RNA is filed under the name Glomeromycotina sp. RNAcentral describes it as "partial small subunit ribosomal RNA". The stretch from base 84 to 215 matches the Rfam family "Eukaryotic small subunit ribosomal RNA", at positions 731 to 864 of the family's 1831-position model. The record is from RNAcentral. Lineage: Eukaryota; Fungi; Glomeromycota.
GGGUCAGUAGGUUGGUCGUGCCACCGGUACGUACUGGUCUCACUGAUUCCUCCUUCCUGAAGAACCGUAAUGCCAUUAAUAUGGUGUUGCGGGAAACAGGACUGUUACUUUGAAAAAAUUAGAGUGUUUAAAGCAAGCUAACGCUUGAAUACAUUAGCAUGGAAUAAUGAAAUAGGACGAUCGAUCCUAUUUUGUUGGUUUCUAGGAUUGACGUA